UAAAAUCCUGUCAGAUGGAAAGAAAUGCUACGUACCUAAUACGUAUGUAGUUUGACGGUACCAUCAAAGGAAGCACCGGCUAACUCCGUGCCAGCAGCCGCGGUAAUACGGAGGGUGCAAGCGUUGUUCGGAAUUACUGGGCGUAAAGCGCGCGUAGGUGGUGAUAUAAGUCAGAUGUGAAAGUCCACGGCUCAACCGUGGAAGUGCAUUUGAAACUGUAUGACUUGAGUACUGGAGGGGGUAGUGGAAUUCCCGGUGUAGAGGUGAAAUUCGUAGAUAUCGGGAGGAAUACCGGUGGCGAAGGCGACUAUCUGGCCAGAUACUGACACUGAGGUGCGAAAGCGUGGGAGCAAACAGGAUUAGAUACCCUGGUAGUCCACGCCGUAAACGAUGUCAACUGGGUGUUGGGAUGGGUAAUCAUCUCAUUGCCGCAGCUAACGCAUUAAGUUG
RNAcentral lists this ribosomal RNA (450 nucleotides) under uncultured delta proteobacterium. Its description in RNAcentral is "bacterial SSU rRNA". It matches the Rfam family "Bacterial small subunit ribosomal RNA", at positions 426 to 867 of the family's 1533-position model. The record is from RNAcentral. Lineage: Bacteria; Deltaproteobacteria.